Small nuclear RNA from Callithrix jacchus (white-tufted-ear marmoset), 103 nucleotides. NCBI's taxonomy places the organism in Eukaryota, Metazoa, Chordata, Mammalia, Primates, Cebidae. The record is from Ensembl.
UUGCUUCAGCAGCACAUUUACUAAAGCUGGAGUGAUGCAGAGAAGAUUAGCAUGGCCUCUGCACAAGAAUGAUACAAAAAUCUGAAUCACUCUGCAUAUUCAA